AGCCUUUGUGUUGCCCAUUCACUUUUGGAAACUAGUGAAUGUGGUGUCAAAAAAGGCGUAAAUCAAACACUUAAGCAGCCAUUACCUGCCCUUGUAUUUGAUAUCUUUGGUGUAGGAGCUGCGUAAGUAACAGUU
This is a small nucleolar RNA of Camelus dromedarius (Arabian camel), 135 nucleotides long. Ensembl annotates it as small nucleolar RNA, H/ACA box 13. Its record names the gene SNORA13. Lineage: Eukaryota; Metazoa; Chordata; Mammalia; Artiodactyla; Camelidae. The record is from Ensembl.